GAUGAACGCUGGCGGCGUGCCUAAUACAUGCAAGUCGAGCGAACAGACGAGGAGCUUGCUCCUUUGACGUUAGCGGCGGACGGGUGAGUAACACGUGGGUAACCUACCUAUAAGACUGGGAUAACUUCGGGAAACCGGAGCUAAUACCGGAUAAUAUUUCGAACUGCAUGGUUCGAUAGUGAAAGAUGGCUUUGCUAUCACUUAUAGAUGGACCUGCGCCGUAUUAGCUAGUUGGUAAGGUAACGGCUUACCAAGGCAACGAUACGUAGCCGACCUGAGAGGGUGAUCGGCCACACUGGAACUGAGACACGGUCCAGACUCCUACGGGAGGCAGCAGUAGGGAAUCUUCCGCAAUGGGCGAAAGCCUGACGGAGCAACGCCGCGUGAGUGAUGAAGGUCUUCGGAUCGUAAAACUCUGUUAUUAGGGAAGAACAAACGUGUAAGUAACUGUGCACGUCUUGACGGUACCUAAUCAGAAAGCCAACGGCUAAACUACGUGCCAGCAGCCGCGGUAAU
RNAcentral lists this ribosomal RNA (516 nucleotides) under uncultured bacterium. Its description in RNAcentral is "bacterial SSU rRNA". It matches the Rfam family "Bacterial small subunit ribosomal RNA", at positions 28 to 524 of the family's 1533-position model. The record is from RNAcentral.